GAUGAACGCUGGCGGCGUGCCUAAUACAUGCAAGUCGAGCGAACAGACGAGGAGCUUGCUCCUUUGACGUUAGCGGCGGACGGGUGAGUAACACGUGGGUAACCUACCUAUAAGACUGGGAUAACUUCGGGAAACCGGAGCUAAUACCGGAUAAUAUUUCGAACCGCAUGGUUCGAUAGUGAAAGAUGGCUUUGCUAUCACUUAUAGAUGGACCUGCGCCGUAUUAGCUAGUUGGUAAGGUAACGGCUUACCAAGGCAACGAUACGUAGCCGACCUGAGAGAGGGGUCGGCGACACUGGAGGUGAGACACGGUCAAGACUACUACGGGAGGCAGCAGUAGGGAAUGUUCCGCAGUGGGCGGAAGCCUGACGGAGCAACGCCGCGUGAGUGGUGAAAGUCUUCGGAUCGUAAAACUCUGUUAUUAGGGAAAAACAAACGUGUAAGUAACUGUGCACGUCGUGACGGUACCUAAUCAGAAAGCCACGGCUAACUACGUG
This 497-nucleotide ribosomal RNA is filed under the name uncultured bacterium. Its description in RNAcentral is "partial 16S ribosomal RNA". It matches the Rfam family "Bacterial small subunit ribosomal RNA", at positions 28 to 507 of the family's 1533-position model. The record is from RNAcentral.